Molecule: ribosomal RNA, 275 nt
Filed under: uncultured bacterium
Lineage: Bacteria
Description: partial 16S ribosomal RNA
Rfam family: Bacterial small subunit ribosomal RNA
Source: RNAcentral
CCUACGGGGGGCUGCAGUCGAGAAUCUUCGUCAAUGGGCGAAAGCCUGAACGAGCGACGCCGCGUGUGGGAUGAAGGCCUUUGGGUUGUAAACCACUGUCGAGGGGGAUGAAGGCUUGAAGGUACUCCUUCAAGUUUGACAGAGCCCUGGAGGAAGCACGGGCUAAGUUCGUGCCAGCAGCCGCGGUAAUACGAACUGUGCGAACGUUAUUCGGAAUCACUGGGCUUACAGGGUGCGUAGGCGGCUAUUCAGGUCAGGUGUGAAAGCCCCCGGCU